UGAACCUGGGAGGCGGGGGUUGCAAUGAGCUGAGAUUGUGUAACUGUACUCCAGCCUGGGUGACAGAGCAACACUCUCUCUUAAAAAAAAAAAAAGAAUCAAUCAUUGGCUAGAUGGAUCCUGGUCAGUCAGUCCUUCAGGGGGAUGGGGGAGAGAUCUUGGGAGAGACCCCAGAGAUUAGUGGUGGGGCUGGGCCUGUGGGGGUGGGACAGUGGUUCUAUACUAACUGAAGGUAUUUUCAUAUUUUCUCAGGUGGUGUGCCUGAAUCACAGUGCACCUGUUGAGAAUUGGCUGUGGAUUUAGGGGUGGCUUUGUCCCCUAAUCAGCAGUGGAACAGAUCCUGUUGCCAAGAUGAGACCUGACUUCACAGACUUCCAGAGAGCUAAUUAUACUUGUGAGAAAAAGGAGAUAAAAAAUAUUCAUAUUCAAUUGUGGCUGACACUCCCUGCUUAGGGUAAGACACGGGAAACCAGCUUCUCAGUUGGUUGUGACAUAAAAUAAAUACUGUUACAGGCACAGUCCUGCCUUCUGCUAAGCUGCAGAUGCCUCAAACCUUGAAGCCAACCCCUCUUUAGAACACAGUCUUUGGAAGUUCUUGAGGUUAGAACAGCAGUCUUCAACCUUUGUGGCAGCAGGGACCAGUUUUGUGGAAGACAGUUUUUCCAUGGACCAGGGGCAGGGGGAUGGUUUUGGGAUGAUUCAGGGGCAUUACAUUUAUCAUACACUUUAUUUCCAUUAUUAUUACAUUGUAAUAUCUACUGAUAAUUCUACAAGCCCUGAGCUUGUUUUCCUGCAACUAGAUGGUCCCGCCUGGGGGUGAUGGGGGACAGUGAUGGAUCAUCAGGCAUUAGAUCCUCAUAAGGAGCAUGCAAUCUAGAUCCCUGUCUGUCGCAGUUCACAAUAGGGCUUGUGUUCUAGUGAGAAUCUAAUGUUACUGCUGAUUGAAUGGGAGGUGGAGCUCAGGCAGCAAUGCGAGUGAUAGGGGGGCAUCUGUAAAUACAAAUGCACCUUUGCUUGGUUGCCAGCUGCUCACCUCCUGUUUUGUGGCCCAGUUCCUAACAGGCCACAGACUGGUACUGGGCCACAGCCUGGUGGCUGGGGACCCCUGGUUUAGAAGGUAAGGUUUUUGGGGCCAGGUGCGGUGGCUCAUGCCUGUAAUUUCAGCACUUUGGGAGGCCAGAGCAGGUGGAUCACUUAGGUCAGGAGUUUGAGACCAGCCUGGCCAACAUGGUGAAACCUCGUCUCUAGUAAAAUUACAAAAAUUAGCCAGGCAUGAUGGUGGGCACCUGUAAUCCCAGCUACGCAGGAGGCUGGGGCAGGAGAAUCACUUGAACCUGGGAGGUGAAGGUUGCAGUGAGUCAAGAUUGCACCACUGUACUCCAGCCUGGGUGACAGAGCGAGACUCUGUCUCAAAAAUAAAAUAAAAUGUUUGUUGUCUGGGCACAGUGGCUCAUGCCUGUACUCCAAGCUACUUGGGAGGCUGAAGCAGGAGGUUCACUUGAGGCCAGGAGUUCCAGGCUCCUGGGAGAUGGCACACUUCCAGGCUCUAGUGGGCCAUGAUGGCAUCACUGUACUCCAGCCUAGGUGAAACAGCAAGACCCUAUUAAAAAAAAAAAAAAAAAAGUUUGUUGGGUGAAUGAAUGGAUAAGUGGAAGGAAAGGAGCGUAGGCUUUGAUUAGAUUCAUGGAGUUCAAAUCCUAACUGUGUCAUUCAGGAGCUAUGAGACCUUGGGCGAGUUACAUCAUCUGAGUUUCUCUUCUCUCAUAUUUUAGUGGGGGUAACAGUAUCUACCUUUCUACCUUGUUGUGAGGUUUUGUUGCAAUAACAAGGAUAAUAAUAAGGAUUAUAGUCCGGGCACAGUGGCUCACACCUGUAAUCCUAGCACUUUGGGAUGCCCAAGUCACACUAAUG
Macaca mulatta (Rhesus monkey) is the source of this 1911-nucleotide non-coding RNA. NCBI's taxonomy places the organism in Eukaryota, Metazoa, Chordata, Mammalia, Primates, Cercopithecidae. The record is from RefSeq and is a predicted model, not a curated record.